UACAGAGGGGGCAAGCGUUGUUCGGAAUUACUGGGCGUAAAAGGCGCGUAGGCGGCCUGUUAAGUCGAACGUGAAAUCCCCGGGCUCAACCCGGGAACUGCGUCCGAUACUGGCAGGCUUGAAUCCGGGAGAGGGAUGUGGAAUUCCAGGUGUAGCGGUGAAAUGCGGAGAUAUCUGGAGGAACACCGGUGGCGAAGGCGGCAUCCUGGACCGGUAUUGACGCUGAGGCGCGAAAGCCAGGGGAGCAAACGGG
RNAcentral lists this ribosomal RNA (253 nucleotides) under uncultured bacterium. RNAcentral describes it as "partial 16S ribosomal RNA". It matches the Rfam family "Bacterial small subunit ribosomal RNA", at positions 524 to 776 of the family's 1533-position model. The record is from RNAcentral.